UGGGGAAUAUUGGACAAUGGGGGGAACCCUGAUCCAGCCAUGCCGCGUGUGUGAAGAAGGCCUUAUGGUUGUAAAGCACUUUAAGCGAGGAGGAGGGUACUGGUAUUAAUACUACCAGGUACUGGACGUUACUCGCAGAAUAAGCACCGGCUAACUCUGUGCCAGCAGCCGCGGUAAUACAGAGGGUGCGAGCGUUAAUCGGAUUUACUGGGCGUAAAGCGUGCGUAGGCGGCUAAUUGAGUCGGAUGUGAAAUCCCCGAGCUUAACUUGGGAAUUGCAUUCGAUACUGGUUAGCUAGAGUGUGGGAGAGGAUGGUAGAAUUACAGGUGUAGCGGUGAAAUGCGUAGAGAUCGGGAUGAAUACCGAUGGCGAAGGCAGCCAUCUGGCCUAACUCAGACGCUGAGGUACGAAAGCAUGGGGAGCAAACAGG
This 430-nucleotide ribosomal RNA is filed under the name Pseudomonadota bacterium. RNAcentral's name for it is "Proteobacteria bacterium partial 16S ribosomal RNA". It matches the Rfam family "Bacterial small subunit ribosomal RNA", at positions 355 to 776 of the family's 1533-position model. Lineage: Bacteria; Pseudomonadati; Pseudomonadota. The record is from RNAcentral.